This 253-nucleotide ribosomal RNA is filed under the name uncultured bacterium. RNAcentral describes it as "partial 16S ribosomal RNA". It matches the Rfam family "Bacterial small subunit ribosomal RNA", at positions 524 to 776 of the family's 1533-position model. The record is from RNAcentral.
UACGUAGGGUGCGGGCGUUAAUCGGAAUUACUGGGCGUAAAGCGUGCGCAGGCGGUUUGGUAAGACAGAUGGGAAAUUCCCGGGCUUAACCUGGGAACUGCAUUUGUGACUGCCAGGCUAGAGUGCGGCAGAGGGGAGUGGAAUUCCGCGUGUAGCAGUGAAAUGCGUGGAUAUGCGGAGGAACACCGAUGGCGAAGGCAACUCCCUGGGCCUGCACUGACGCUCAUGCACGAAAGCGUGGGGAGCAAACAGG